Long non-coding RNA from Poeciliopsis prolifica (blackstripe livebearer), 476 nucleotides. RefSeq lists it as uncharacterized. The transcript is spliced from 5 exons. The record is from RefSeq and is a predicted model, not a curated record. Lineage: Eukaryota; Metazoa; Chordata; Actinopteri; Cyprinodontiformes; Poeciliidae.
GCCAUGGCAGCCGGCGAGGCAUGAAUGAGUGACAGCAUCACAAAGACGAGUGGAGGAAUGGGAGGAAUGAAGCCACAGUGACUGACUGCUGGGAACAGGUGCACUGAGAGACGUCUUCAUGCUGAAGGCAGGGGAGAGGAGACGGAAAUGGACUGCAGGACUGAAACAGAAACUGAUUCUGGGACGAGCUUCCUGGGUGAGAGGGAGGAAAGAUGUAAGCGUGUGACUCUGCAGGUCUGGAACCGCCGGGAUGAUGUUCACCUUGUCUGAGUUUCGUCGAGCUGCUGGCCUCCAUGCCGCAUGGAAAAGUCUCGGUGUAAGAAGCCGAUUGGCCUCAUUUCAGUGAGAGGAGCAGCGAUCAGGAGGCAGACGAAGCAAAACGGCACAAAAUGAGUGGAACGACCUGGAACUUGUCUGAAUAAAUGUACUUCUAGAAGUACUUUUACUACACCAUACGUUUUACUUUUACUUGAGUC